GGUUAAGUUAGAAAGGGCGCACGGUGAAUGCCUUGGCACUAGGAGCCGAUGAAGGACGGGACUAACACCGAUAUGCUUCGGGGAGCUGUAAGUGAGCUUUGAUCCGGAGAUUUCCGAAUGGGGAAACCCACUGUUCGUAAUGGAACAGUAUCUUUAUCUGAAUACAUAGGAUAUUGAAGGCAGACCCGGGGAACUGAAACAUCUAAGUACCCGGAGGAAGAGAAAGCAAAUGCGAUUUCCUGAGUAGCGGCGAGCGAAACGGAAUUAGCCCAAACCAAGAGGCUUGCCUCUUGGGGUUGUAGGACACUCUAUACGGAGUUACAAAGGAACGAAGUAAAUGAAGCGACCUGGAAAGGUCCGUCGAAGAAGGUAACAACCCUGUAGUUGAAACUUCGUUCCCUCUUGAGUGGAUCCUGAGUACGGCGGAACACGUGAAAUUCCGUCGGAAGCUGGGAGGACCAUCUCCCAAGGCUAAAUACUACCUAGUGACCGAUAGUGAACCAGUACCGUGAGGGAAAGGUGAAAAGCACCCCGGAAGGGGAGUGAAAGAGAUCCUGAAACCGUGUGCCUACAAGUAGUCAGAGCCCGUUAACGGGUGAUGGCGUGCCUUUUGUAGAAUGAACCGGCGAGUUACGAUCCCAUGCAAGGUUAAGCUGAUAAGGCGGAGCCGUAGCGAAAGCGAGUCUGAAUAGGGCGUUUAGUAUGUGGUUGUAGACCCGAAACCAGGUGAUCUACCCAUGUCCAGGGUGAAGUUCAGGUAACACUGAAUGGAGGCCCGAACCCACGCACGUUGAAAAGUGCGGGGAUGAGGUGUGGGUAGCGGAGAAAUUCCAAUCGAACCUGGAGAUAGCUGGUUCUCUCCGAAAUAGCUUUAGGGCUAGCCUCAUGUUGU
RNAcentral lists this ribosomal RNA (892 nucleotides) under Priestia megaterium. RNAcentral's name for it is "partial 23S ribosomal RNA". It matches the Rfam family "Bacterial large subunit ribosomal RNA", at positions 1 to 890 of the family's 2925-position model. The record is from RNAcentral. RNAcentral also lists the same sequence under 5 other names. Lineage: Bacteria; Bacillati; Bacillota; Bacilli; Caryophanales; Bacillaceae.